AACCGCUUCUAUGUGACUUUUACCGAUGACUAUAGUAGAUAUGGGUAUAUCUACUUAAUCAAGCAAAAGUCAGACACCUUUGAAAAGUUCAAAGAGUUCAAGAAUGAAGUGGAGAAUCAAUUGGGCAGGAAAAUCAAGAUGCUUCGAUCCGAUCGAGGAGGAGAGUACCUAAGUCUUGAAUUCCACGAUUAUCUCAAGGAGUGUGGAAUAGUUUCACAAUUGACGCCUCCUAGGACACCGCAGUUGAAUGGUGUGGCAGAAAGGCGUAAUCGAACCUUAUUGGAUAUGGUUCGCUCUAUGAUGAGUCGUGCUUCACUACCAAUCUCUUUUUGGGGGUAUGCCUUAGAGACUGCCGCCCAUAUCCUUAACCGAGUCCCUACUAAGAAGGUUGCCAAAACACCUCACGAGAUGUGGACAGGGAAAGCUCCCUCGUUGGCACAUAUCAAGGUUUGGGGUUGCGAGGCUUUCGUAAGACGAGAUACUCACGACAAGCUUGAACCUCGAAGUGAGCGAUGUAUUUUCAUCGGCUACCCGCAGACAUCCUUUGGAUAUCUCUUCUAUAGACCGAAGGACAAUGUUGUCUUCGUUGCGAGGAGAGGAGUUUUCCGAGAGCGAGAACUCAUAAGCCAAGGAGACAGUGGGAGGCAAAUCGAACUUGAAGAGAUUCAAGAGUCGAUAGAUGAAGGAACCUCUACCGCUGGCACUCAACCCGAGGAGGAAACUCCGGUUGAACCGAUUGACGAAUCCUUACCUCUUAGACGUUCCGAUAGAGUUAGAGUUCAUCCCCAGUUUUAUGGCUUUCAUAUUACUACCGAAGGGGACACGUAUAUUAGUGAUGGUACACUAGUAAAUCUUGAUGAACCUAAUAGCUAUAAGGAAGCCAUGGCAGGCCCGGAGUCUGCAAAAUGGAAAGAGGCAAUGGAUAGCGAGAUCCAAUCCAUGUAUGAUAACCAAGUUUGGAAUUUGGUUGAUUAUGUGCCCGGACGUAAGACCGUUGGGUGCAAAUGGAUCUUCAAGAAGAAGACCGACGUGGAUGGAAACGUACACACAUAUAAAGCGCGAUUGGUUGCGAAGGGCUUUACUCAAACUCCCGGAGUUGACUAUGAUGAGACCUUCUCACCAGUUGCGAAGAUUAAAUCUAUUAGAGUGAUGCUAGCAAUUGCCGCAUUUCAUGAUUAUGAGAUUUGGCAAAUGGAUGUCAAGACCGCUUUCCUUAACGGAAAGUUGGCUGAGGAUGUUUACAUGGCUCAGCCAGAGGGGUUUGUGGAUCCGAAGCAUCCGAAUAGAGUGUGUAAGCUUGAGAAGUCCAUUUAUGGACUUAAGCAAGCGUCUCGCAGAUGGAAUCUUUGCUUCGAUGAGAAAGUCAAAGAGUUUGGAUUUGUACGAAGCGAAGACGAAUCUUGUGUAUAUGUCAAAGCCAGUGGGAGUAUAGUAAGCUUCCUCGUUCUAUAUGUCGAUGACAUAUUACUCAUAGGAAACGACAUCCCGACUCUGCAGGAGGUUAAGUCCUGGCUCGGGAAGUGCUUCGCUAUGAAGGACCUCGGAGAGGCUUCUUACAUUUUGGGAAUAAGGAUAGUAAGAGAAAGAAGUAAGAGACUAAUUGGACUUAGUCAGAAUACUUACUUAGAGAAGGUACUAAAACGUUUUAGUAUGGAAAACUCAAAGAAGGGAGAACUACCGAUACAAAGUAAUGCCAAAUUGAGUAAGACUCAAAGUCCGAGUACCGAAGCUGAGAUAGCAGAAAUGAGCCGAGUACCAUACGCUUCCGCAGUUGGCUCAAUCAUGUACGCUAUGACUUGUACUCGCCCUGAUGUAGCCUUCGCUUUGAGCAUGGUUAGCAGAUAUCAAGGGAAUCCUGGCAAAGCACAUUGGAUUGCGGUGAAGAAUAUCCUUAAGUACCUUCGGAGGACGAAGGAAUGGUUCUUAGUCCUCGGAGGGAGUGAUGACUUGAAGGUGCGAGGGUAUAGUGACGCCAGUUUUCAGACCGACAGGGACAACUACCGUUCGCAGUCGGGCUGGGUCUUUACCCUAAAUGGAGGAGCAGUGACAUGGAAGAGUUCCAAGCAGGAAACCGUAGCUGAUUCAACGUGCGAAUCAGAGUACAUUGCAGCGAGCGAAGCGUCGAAGGAGGCAAUAUGGCUAAAGAACUUCAUCGGUGAUCUUGGAGUUGUACCUGCCAUAAAGGAGCCAAUGGAGAUUUUCUGUGAUAACGAAGGCGCGGUUGCCUUAACCAAGGAACCGAGGGAUCAUGGUAGAUCAAGACAUAUCGACAGAAAGUAUCACUUCAUUAGACAUCGUGUAGAAGAAGGACAACUCGUAGUGAAGAGGAUAUCAUCAGAAGAUAACCCAGCAGAUCCGCUUACGAAGGGACUGAGUAGGGUUAAGCACUUGCAGCAUGCUAGGAGUAUUGGGCUGAAGGAUGAUAUUAGCAUAGAUUAGAUAGUAUUAGAAACGUGUAAUAGAUAAAUGUAAUUAACAUUUGAUGAUUAAAUAAAGGAGUUUUAUUUAUGAGUAAUGUUACUAUCUUAUGUUAAUUGUUUAGCUAUUGUUUCACUUUGCAUGUUUUGACUUCCAGAAUAAUUGAGUUUAUUAGGAAUAAUCGAAUUGUUCAAAUGGUCCACAAUCGUUCAUAUGUUGGGAGUAGAUAUGAAUGAAGAUUGUCAUGAAUUGGUGUGUAGAAUGUCUAAAUGGUGUUAGACAUAGCAAAGGAUUGCUGCAACGUUCAUGAGUGCUUAUGAACUAGUUUUGAGCAUUGGAAUAAACCCGCGCUUGCUGGAAUCACCUUAUGGAAUACGAUAUAAAAGGUGAUCGCAAGACGAUAAUAUCAUAUAGUCUUAAAACCUAGAUAUAUGGUUUAUUAUUUGUUAAUUGAUUGUACAUUGAUAAUACGAAAACGCAUCAGUAACUUGGUGUUAUAAAACGUAUUGUUGUGUAUAGUUGGUAAAUGAAUAAGUAAAUGCAUAUAAGUCGAAGUUUAUCUGUAACUUUUAUCUAAGAAGGUAAAAGCGAUAUCUCGGCCGCUCGAUGAUUUGAUUUGACUUAUGUGCCGGGCCCGGUCAGAACUGAAUUGAUGUGUUCGAUUAAGUUCUAUGUCAAAUAAAUCAGAGAUCGAGAAACCUAAAUGCUUGACUAACCAUUCCAUAGGAUUGUCAGCAUGAUAUCUAACAGAGGACUGUACGUUCCCUUAUCUAAAGGACAAGAUUGAUUAGAUCAGAGUUGACAGCGUCUUUGAGAGCUACGAUUGCAAACCGAAUUGUACUUGUAUAGUUACUAGACUUAUCCAAGUGGGAGACUGUUGGAAUAGUGUCUAAGGCUGUAACUAUAUUAGGCAAGUAUUUGAUCCGGUUGUGCAUGGUCCUUUUGGGUUGCCUUCACCAUAGCAACUUGAUAGGAUGAUUUAUUAAGAGAGAGUAAAUAUUAUUAAUAUAUUAUGAGAAUAAUAUAAUGAAUAAUAUAUUUGUUAUUUGAUUAAUAUAAGUCAUAGAAUUAAUUAGAAUUAAUUUGGUGACUUAAAGAGAUUAAUUAAAUAAAGGCCAGGGAACUGUCAAUUGUUUGAUAGUUAAGCUUUAGACUGUAAAUCCAUUUGGAUAUGCUAUGGACGAAUUCUAAGAGGUUUAGGAUAGCUAAAAUCGUCCAUAUGAUUAUCUUAGGAAUGGAUUUGGAUAGCCUUAAGAGAAGAUUAUCCAAUUAGGGUUUAGGUUGUAACCCUUAAGGAGUCUACAAGUAUAAAUAGACCCCAUGGCAUAGGGAAUUCGACACAUCUCAUAAAGUAAGAGAACCCUGGCCGAAUUCCUUCCCUCUCCUCUCUCCUAAAUCAUUCUUCUUGCUAUUGGUGUUUGUAAGCCAUUAGAGGAGUGACAUUUGUGACUCUAGAAGCUCCAAGACCUCAAGAUCAACAAGGAACUCAAAGGUAUGAUUCUAGAUCUGUUUCAAUGUUGUUAUUUAACCUAAUUAGUCAUUAGAAGACUUGGAUUCAAAGCAUGUUUAUUAGAAAGCCUAGAUCCAAGCAUUAGGGUUUUGCAUGCGCACAUAGGAAAGUUCUUAUGGCUAAAACCCAUCAUUAUGUAUUGUAAGCAUGAUAUCUAGAACAGAGGAUUAUACGAACUCUUAUCUAAAGGACAAGUUAAUGAUCAGAGUUGACAGCGGCGUAUAAGAGCUACGAUUGUUAAUCGGAUCCUGAAGUCAUAAGUGAGAUAUAGUUACUAGACUUAUCCAAGUGGGAUACUGUUGUAUUAGUGUCUAAGCCUUUAACUAUAUUUGGUAUGUACCUGACCCGGUUGUGCAUGGUCCUUUUGGGUUGCCUUCACCAAAGCAACUUGACAAGGUAAUUUAGGAGAGAGAAAAUAUUAUGAUUUGUUAAUAUAUUAUGAGAAUAAUAUAUUAAAGGAGAAAUCAUAUUAUUUGAUUAAUAAUAGUCAUAAAUUAAUUAGGAAUUAAUUUGGUGACUAAAAGAGAUUAAUUGAAUAAAGGGGCUUAAACUGUCAAAUGUAUGAUAGUUGAGUUUUGGGCUAGGAAACCCAAUGGAUUAAAGGGGGAACGAAAUUAUGAUGGGGAUCCAUCAUAUUUUCGUCCAUAGGCCCUAUUCCAGAAGGUUCCAUGGGCUGCUUGGUGAUUAAGUUGUCCAUUAGGGUUUUACCUGAAACCCUAGCAGCCUACAUUAUAUAUAGAGACCCCUACUUGCAAUUUUUGGCCACUUGAUUCCAAGAGAAACCCUAGGGCCGAUUUGAGUUUCCUCCCUCCUCUCUCAUAAUUUCCUUCUUACUUGUGUGGUGUUUGUAAGCCAUUAGAGGAGUUACACUUGUGACUCUAAGCUCAAGAACCAAGAUAAAACAAAAGGUUUCAAGCCAAUUGAAAGAGGUAAUCAUUUAAAUAUGUUCUUAUCAUGUAUACUUCGAAUUAUGCAUGCUAAAUCUAGGGUUCCAAGUCUUAGAUGAAUUACAUGUACAAUAGAGAAGCCUAGAUCCAAGCUUUAGGGUUUUGCAUGAGCAUAUAGGAUGUUCUUUUGUAUUAAAACCAUCAGUGGUAUCAGAGACUUGAUUGGUUUUUGUUGUAUGUGAUGUAAUUGUUGAGUUUUUGCUGAAAAUCGUUUUUCUGGCCUCUGCCCGACCCGACUCGGCGAGUCAGUAUCUGGACUCAGCGAGUCUGCCCAACUCGGCGAGUCCAGGUAGUGACUCGGCGAGUCUGGGAGUCGGGCAGAGGAUAUCUCAGGAUUUCUUGCUGUUUUGCUAAAGUAUAAAUGCCAAAAUCGUUUUUUAAUGAUAAAAUCCGAAUUUUAUUGCAUUUAGAUGAUUAUCCUUACCAAAACAAAAGAUAAUUUCAAAUCAUUUGAAUUAUAGUUUCUUUAUUUGAUAAAUUUUGAUUGUUUAAAUUAUUUUGUAAUUAUCUUGUGAAUAAAAUUGGAUUAGGUCAAAUAUAGAUAAUCAAAAAAUUAAUUGUUUAUUUUAUAUUAUUUGUGAUUUGAUCGUUUGCGUUUUGAAAAGUUCAAAUCAUGCCCUCAAGUUUUGAAAUUUAAAUUUUUGAUUAAAAGUUUAAUUUUGAAUGAUUUAAAUUUCAAACCCUUAGAAUUUUACAAGUUUAAAAUUCAACCCUAUAGUAUUAUAUUAUUACAAGAUUAAUUAAUAUAUAUGUAUAACUUGAAGUGCUAGUCUUACCGUUAGUAGGCCUCAUUCACGAAGCCGAUCUAUAAGUGGGUAUAAGGUUAUGGCCUAUAAAAUGGCCAUUUAAUGGGUAUCCACUCUUACCCACCGCUUCCUUGAUUGGUGGAGGGUCGUUAGCCGAACGGGUAGGAUAGGGCAAUCCUCUCCUCGUUAAAAGUAUAAUGAAUGAUACAAAGUAACUACAAUGUUUUUACAAAUUCCCAAUCUUAGUUACUUUAGGGUAAAAUGUGAAAAUGAUGCUACUCAUUGGAAUUACACUUUGUACCCUUGUCAAAUGUUAGUGGAGUGUGUGUGGUUAACCAGCACACUAAUUUGGGACUGACAUUGGUAGCGAAGGGUGGCUCGAUGUUUGUCAUAGAUCAAUGGAGCGUGUGUAGUUUACUGACACAAUGAUUAGGUGAUAGAGACAUUGAGUGCACCAUGUUGAUUUGUAUGGUUAUUCACACCUUGUUUGUGAUCCUCGGUAUCCCAGCCACAAACUUGAAGGCCAUAUCGAGAUUUAAACAUGCGAUUGAAAAGUUCAAUUAAUCUCAAAAGUAUCUAGGAGUUUUCAAAUACAUUUAAAAAUUAAUUUCCUUUUGUUUUUCAUGGUGGAAAUUGAAUCGUCAUUCACUUACCUUCAAAUUAUUUACAUUUAGAUUACGACAUCCCUUUUCUAAGUUGUGGACAAUGUUGUUGGUUCUUAGCCCUAAUUUUUCAUUUGGGUGUUUAAUUGGGGAUUCAUUUCUAAUUAAACUUUGUUCCUUUCUAAUUUCAAAUGUCUGCUAACAACAACAACAACGCUUCUGGGUCAUUCUCGCUGAUGAACUUGUGCACAAAAGUGACAUUUUAUGGUUCGAAAUUCAAUGAGUGGAUGACAUACAUUCGUAUGAUCAAUCGCUACGAGGACAAAGAGUAUGUCUUGAUUUAAAGCUUGAAAAGAUCCCCCCAGAGAUUACUACUGCUGAAGAGUUGGCCGACUUUGAGGCCCAUGAGCGUGAUGCUACGAAAUUCCAUUGCAUCAUGUUGGCCACUAUGAACAUAGAACUCCAAAAGUCCUAUUAGGACAUGUAUCCCUACGAGAUGCAUCAAGAUUUGCUGGAACGGUACCACCAGAGUGCGAGGCAAGAGCGCUAUGAGAUCAUCACAAAUAUGAUCACCACUAAGAUGGGGAAUGGAGAAUCCCUAACCUCUCAUUUGCAGAAGAUGUAGAGGUAUGUUUAUCAUCUUCUCAAAUUAAAUGUUAAAUUUGAUGAAGAUUUGGCUAUCGACAUCAUCCUCUACUCCUUGCCUUCCUGCUACAACCAGUUCAGAAUGACCUACCACAUGAAUAAGGAAGAUGUCUCCUUGGGUAAAUUUCAAAGACUGCUGAGAGCAACCUCAUGGACAAAUCUGUUGCAUCGGUCCCUACCAUGGCUGCUUUUGUGUUGGCAAUUGGUCAAGGAAAGGGUAAGAAGAGGAAGGCUCCUUCAAAGAGCUACCAAAAGGGAAAUCCCCGUGAUGGUUCAUCCUCUAGUGGGAUCAAAGCAGGUUCUGCUAAGCCCUCCUCUGACCCUAAGGAAGCAGAGUGUUUCUAUUUCCACGAGAAGGGCCACUGGAAACGAAGCUGCCCUAAAUAUCUGCAGGACAUUAAGGAUGGGAAGAUAAAUCCCACUUUCGUAGGUAUGUAUUCUAUUAAAUCUAACGACUCAUCACUUGCUACUUCAUGGGUUCUUGAUACAGGAUGUGGUUUCCACAUUAGAAUUAACACUUCCUAGAGUGUGACUGACAAUAGAAGUUUGAACAUAAUUAAAGAUUCUAGAAGUAGGUUUCAAAACAUGCAAAAGUGAAACACAAUAUUUGAAUUAACAUAACUUUGAUAGCGACAUAAUCUCUUUAUUAAGUCUACAAAAUAAACAACAAGAUGGAUACAAUUCAUAUUAAUAUACGGUUCAUAAUAAUUCUAACUAACAACUGAACUACUACAUCAAAUCAGUAUCUAGUCUCAUGCUAACGGUCCUCACAUAACCAUCAUGUUUCUCUCAUGAAAGUGGCUUCAUGAACGGAUAUACAUAAUUCUCUACAUAUGAUAACAUGUUUACAACGAUGUCUUUGUCUUCCACCUUAUGUCAAAUGUAAUGAUACUUUCUCAAUAUGUGUCUUGAAUUACCAUGGUCCCUGUGCUCUUUAGUCAAGGUGACUACACCCUCGUUAUCACAAUAGAUCUCUAUAGGAUCUUUGACGGUUGGUGAAACUCCAAGAUCAUCGAUGAAGUUCUUUAACCAUGUAUCCUCCUUUGUUGCUUUAUAGGCUGCAAUAUACUUAGAAUCGCAUCUCUAGUUUUCCAGCUGUCUUCUAUUUGGAACUUUUCCACGUAACAACUCCUUUAUUAAGCAAAAACACCCAAUCUGAUUGUGAACACGAGUUAUCCUUGUCAGUAUGGAAACUUGCAUCUGAAUAACCUGUAACUCAUAAUUCUUUUCUGCCACGAUAAACUAAGAACAUAUCCUUAGUUUUUUUCCAGAUACUUUAGGAUAUUCUUCAUAACUGUCUAAUGACUAUCAACAUGAUUGUCUUGAUAUCAACUCACCAUGCUCAGAGCAUAUGAUAUAUCAGGUCUAGUACAUGUCAUGACAUAUAUAAUUGAUGCUAUAGUAGAAGCAUAUGGGACUCGAUUCAUCCUAUCCAGUUCUUCUACAUCUCUGGGAGACUGAUGCUUGCUCAAUAUUAUGCCAUGUUGCUUGGGUAGAUACCAUUUCUUUGAAUCUUGCAUUUUGAAUAGUUUCAAAACCUUAUCUAAGUAUGUACUUUGGCUCAGCCCAGCUAGAAUUUUAGAUCUGUGUCUAUAGAUCCUAAUGCCUAGUAUGUAAGUUUCUUUUCUUAUGUUCUUCAAAGCGAAAAAUUUCUCAAGCCAAGUUUUGACACUCUACAAGGUUGGAAUAUUGUUUCCUAUAAGUAGUAUGUCGUCAACAUACAAUACUAGGAAGACAAAAUUACUCACACUGGCUAAGACAUACGCAAGAAUCAUACUCACUUCUAUAGAAUCUAAACUCUUUGUCCUUUUUAUGAAAGUAAAGAUUCCAGCUACAUGAUGCUUGUUUGAGUCCAUUUUACACUCUAUUAGGAUAUUUUGGAUCAAUGUAGCCCUCAGUUUGUGCCAUGUAUACAUCCUCUGCUAAUUUCCCUAUUAAGGAAAUUAGUCUUCAUAUCCAUUUUCUAUAUUUCAUAGUCAUAGAAAGGUGUUAUGGCAAGUAGUAUCUGAAUAGACUUUAUCUUAUCUACCGGUUAGAAGGUUUCCUCAUAAUCAAUUCCCCGAGUCUGAGUGUAACCCUUCAGAACUCGCUUAGAUUCAUAUGUGUGCACAUUUGCAUCAAUGUCGGUCUUCUUCAUGAAGAUCCACUUGCACCCAAUGGUUUUAAUGCCAGGUGCAGGAUUAGCUAAAUUCCAAACUUGGUUAUCAUACAUGGAUUGAAUUUUACUUUCCAUACUCUCAUUCUAUGUAGUAGCUUUAGAGCUUGCCAUUACUUUCUGUAACAACCCAAAUUUCCAAUAAAAUUUUUCAUUUUAAAUAACCAAAACAUUUCCAAAAAAUAUGAAAUCCCAAACACAUUUGUUUUCAAAAUCCAUAACAUCCGUAAAACUAUUCAUAAAAUCAGAUUGUCCCAAAUGAAACGCCAGAAAGAGCAUGCUGCGCCAUCACGCCGGGCUAUUGCCCUUAGAUCCUGAGGCACCUGAAACAACCAACAAACUGUAAGCUAAUGCUUAGUGAGUUCCCAAGAACAUACCCCACACAAUACACAUAAUCACAUAACCCAUAUUAGCUAUAUCAACGACAUAUAUCACAUAAGCCAUGCAUACAAACAUAUAAGGAUGUCAUGGAAACCCUCCAAGUUCUUAUACAUGGUGCCACUAGAACGCCCACGUGGUCUUAACCCACUGCUAUGGGAACCCCCACAUGGUCUUGACUACCUGCCAUGGGAACCUCCAUAUGGUCUUCACUAACUUCCAUGGGAACCCCCACAUGGUAUUAGCUACCAAAGAAAUAUCAUGCAAGCUAACAUACAACAUACUAGGAUUCCAUGUAAACCCUCCAAGGUCUUACACCAAAUGCCAGGGGAAACCCUACAUGGUCUUAAUCCACUGCCACGGGAACCCCCCGACGUCUUCCAUGCAAAUGUCAUACCAACAUAACACAUAACCAACUAUCCAUCUACAUAUCACAUAAUGGCCCGACCUUGGUGCCUUCGACUCAUUGGUAUGGUGAGAAGACUCACCUCUUAAGAAUUGCUUAACCGGUAAAAAUCAAUCCUAACUCAUAACUCCAAACUAAACCGCCUACAACCACCUUGCAACUAACUUCACUAAAACCCUGAAUUAACAAAGAUAUCCUUAAAGUCAAACUUGGUCAACCCUGGUCCUAAUCAAUGUCAACAAUCAAGGUUAACGGUUCAUGUUUACCCAACUCGUCGAGUGCAUCUGGAAACUUGUCGAGUUCCUUCAGUGUUCAGAAAACUGGGAAAACCCUAGCGAACUAGCAGAGUAUCUGAUCAACUCGACAAGUUCGCUUAGUAUCCAGAAAGCGGGAAAACCUGAUCCAACUUGUCGACUUGUCAAGGCAACUGGUCAAGUUUUCCCAGUUAUAACAUAUUUAGCCCCAUCAAGUUGAUACUAAAGCCACAAACUACAGAUCUGGUACCCUAGGGUUAAUAUGCCACGUAAAGUUGCUAACUUUAGAUCCAUGCAAGGCGUCAGUGGGAUAAAACACUCAAACAAAGCUUAUGAAGGGACUUAGAGCAUGAAGGAGAGCCAUGACUUGAUAAAGUUGGCAACUUUAAGUCCACAAGGGGCAUGAUAUGUCUAGAUCUGAAGCCAUAUCUUCAUAACAUGCUCAAAUCCAAGAAUGGUCCCAAAAUAGGCUAAUAAUGGCCAUAAACUUUCAAGGGACAAGAUCUAAUAAAAGAAUAGUCAAGGUAUCGACUUUAUACCUUAAUAUAAUUGCCACAACAGAGAAAUUCAUGGAUCUAAAGCUUCUCCCUUCAACUAUGCACUACCAACUUCAACUCCUUCAAGAAACACCAAGGAACACACUCUUUUAACCCAAACAUAAUCAAAAAUCGGAGAUGAGACAUGAUUUAGGGUUUCUAUGGCCUGAGAGGACGAUGCUGGAGGCUAACAAUGAGGCUUAAGGCCUUUAAAUAGGGUGCAAACCCUGAAAAUUAGGGUUUUUCCUUUCCAUCCUCAACUCGCCGAGUUGGGGAUCCCUAACUCGUCGAGUAGAACCUCAAUCCUGUGUCCAUAAAGUUCCUUACUCGAUAAGUUGGAGCUCCCCAACUCUUCGAGUUCUAGUCCAAACCCGAAAAUGUUUAGAAAUAAAUAAUACCUGGAGAAAGCAUUACAUAUCUUCCCAACUUGAACUAGAAUUUGUCCUCGAAGUCUGCUGAUGCAAACAAAUAUGGGUAAUGCUCUUGCAUCUCAUCCUCCAGAUCCCAUGUCGAUUCCAAGCCUUUUCGGUGUUGUCAUUACACCUUCACUAGAUUCACCUCUUUGUUACGAAGAACCUUAUUUUUCUUAUCCAAAACAACAACAAGCCUCUUAGUGUAGUUCAGGCUCUCAUCCACCUGAAUGUCGGCCUAAGGAAUAAUCGCGGGCUCGUCUGUGACACACUUCCGCAGCUAAGACACAUGUAAGGUGUUAUGAAUCUGGCUAAGCUCGUCCGAAAAAUACAGACGGCAAAUCCAGGAGGAAAUCCUGAACAGUCCAAUAUAUCGGGGCCUUAACUUGCCCCUCUUCCAAAACCUAAUGACACCCUUCCAUGGUUACACUUUCAACAAGACGAAGUCUCUCACCUGGAACUCAAGAUUCGAGCGACGUAGGUCUUCAUUUCUCUUCUGACGGCUCUGUGUAACCUGCAGCGUGUCGCGCGCUUGCUGGAUCAACUCGGUAGUCUUAAGCACCACUUCGGUGCUUCCCAUGACUCGGUGCCCAACCUCACCCCAACAAACUGGGAUCCUACAGCUCCGACCAUAUAGCAUCUCAAACGGGGGUUGGUCGAUACUAGCAUGAUAACUAUUGUUAUAUGAAAAGUCUGCUAGUGGGAGGUAUGCAUCCCAACUCCCUCCGAAAUCCAAUACGCAUGCCCGCAUCAUAUCCUCGAGCGUCUGGACCGUCCGCUCGCUUUGGCCGUUUGUCUAGGGGUGGUAUGCAGUGCUGAAGUGUAACUGUGUGCCCAGUUCCUCGUGGAACUUCCUCCAAAUCUGGAUGUAAAUCAGACAUCCCGAUCAGAGACCACCGACACUGGCACCCCGUGCCUAACCACCACCUCUCGCACAUAAAUAUCUACAAAUUUCUCAGCAUCUCGGGGAUCGAAAUAAAAUGAGAACUCUUCGUCAACUUGUCCACAAUGACCCAAACAAAAUCCACACCCCUCGCUGUCCUCAGUAACUUCGAGAUGAAUUCCAUGGUGAUCUCUUCCUACUUCCACAUAGGAAUGGGUGGCGGUUGAACGUUUCCGUGAGGCCUCUGAUGUUCGGCCUUGACCUUCCAGCAUGUCAAGCACCGCUCCACGAAUCAUGCGAUCUCCCACUUGGCCACUAGUAACUCAACCUCAGAUCCCUAUACUUCUUUGUGGCCCCCGGGUGAAUUGAGAACUUGGAUUUGUGUGCCUCCUCCAAGAUCUAUUGCCCCCGGGUGAAUUGAGAACUUGCCGCCUUGCGACUCAAAGCAUCAGGCACCAGGUUAGCCUUCCCUGGAUGGUACAAAAUGUCGAAGUCGUAAUCUUUUAGUACAUCCAACCAUCUCCUAUGCCGCAUGUUGAGGUUCUGCUGAUUCAUCAAUUACUUCAAACUUUUGUGGUUUGUAAAGAUGGUGCACCGAACUCCGUAAAAGUAAUGCCUCCAUAUUUUGAGGGAAAACACCACCGCCCCAAUUCCAGGUCAUGAGUGGGGUAAUUCACCUCAUGAGGCUUCAUCUGCCUUGAGGUGUAUGCGAUCACAUGCCCCUUCUGCUUCAAAACACACCCUAACCCUAAGAUCGACGCAUCACAAUAGACUACCAAAUCGUCCAAUCCCUCGGGUAGUACUAGAAUCAGGGCCUCACAUAACCUCUAUCUUAAGGUCUCGAAAGCCAACUGCUAGUUCGGGCCCCACCGGAAAGUCACAUUCUUCUUAGGUAAGUGAGUCAAAGGUACAACGAUCUUGGAGAAAUCCUGGAUGAAUUUCCAAUAGUACCCCGCUAAACUCAAGAUGCUACGGAUCUGAAAUGCAUUCUUCGGUACUUCCCACCACAUUACUUCCUCAACCUUGGCUGGAUCAACCGUUACCCUCUUGGUUGAUGACGUGCCUCCAAAAUUGCACCUCUCGCAACCAAAAUUCACACUUUGAGAAAAAGGCGUAAAGCCUUUCCAUCCUCAGUGUCUCCAAUACCUCCCUCAGAUGCUGUUCAUCUGCUCCUUGGUGUUAGAAUAGACCAAGAUUUCAUCGAUGAAAAUGAUCACUGACUGAUCCAACAUCAGCCUACACACCCUGUUCAUGAGCUCCAUGAAUGCUGCUGGGGCAUUGGUGAGCUCGAAUGGCAUCACCACAAACUCAUAGUGACUGUACUGAGUCCUGAAGUUGUCUUCAGUAUAUCCUUAGCUCUAAUCCUCAUCUGAUGGUACCCCGACCGAAGAUCAAUCUUUGAAAACCAAGAUGCGCCCUGAAGCUGAUCGAACAAAUCAUCGAUCCUCGGAAGUGGAUAAUGGUUUUUUAGCGUUAUCUUGUACAGCUCCCGAUAAUCGAUACACAUCCUAUGUGACCCAUCCUUAUUCUUCAUGAACAGGAUCCGUGCUUCCCACGGGGAACUGCUCGGACGAAUAAACCCUCGGCCUAGCAGCUCCUGAAGCUACAUAGACAGCUCCUGCAUCUCGAGCGGAGCUAGCCGGUACGAUGCCUUGGCUAUCAGAGCGGCACCCGACACCAAAUCAAUGCGAAACUCUAUUUGCCUCUAAGGAGGCAACCAAGGCAACUCCUCGGGAAAGACAUCCCGAAAAUCCUGUACAACUGGUACACUACCCAAAUUUGUCGAGGUCUCAACCCUCAUAUCUGAGACAUACGCCAAGAAUCUCGAACAACCCUGAUGGAGAAGUCUACUAGCCCUUGCAGAUGAACAAAGGGUUGGCCCCUGCGAUGCUCUCUCUCCAUGAAUAACCAGUUUUCCUCCACUUGGGGUUCGAACUCUCACCAGCUGGCACUCACAAUCUAUCAUGGCCCCGUUGGCACCCACCAGUCCAUUCCAAUGAUCACCUUCAAUCCUCUCAAUGGUAUUGAAAUCAGAUCGGCACGGAACCUCUCCUUAAACACAUUAAGGACACAGUCCUGAUAUACCCUUGCAGCACUCAUAGUAUGGUUAUCCGUAAUCUUAACCUCAAGCAGGGAAUCCAAAGCCCCCGGAGCAUCCUAUAACUUCUUGCUAAGCGCAAGAGAUACGAAUAAUUGGGUAGCUCCUGAAUCGAAAAUAAAAUGAGCCGACAUACCAUUGACCAUAAAGGUCCCUAUAUAAGAGCACAUAUAUACAUAAGCAUGACAAAUCAAUAUCGAGCAUAAAAUAAAUUAAGUACCAGUCACGACGUCUUGCGCUGCCCGGGCCUCCUCAGUAGUUAACUGAAAUGCGUGGAUCUUCACUACCGGAGCAUCCGCCUUGGCAGGGCGGCCAUUAGUGAUCCUCAUUAUGGCGAGCGUAGGCGGAACCAUUGCUCCUCCUCCUCCCUGCAACCCCGAACAAUCGGCCUUUAUAUGUCCGGUCUGGUUGUAGUGGAAACAAAUCAAACCCCACUAUGCGAUCUCCCACAUUUGGCACACCUGCUAUGACUCUGAUGGCCCUUACCAGAAGAAUCAGAGGUCUUAGGCUUUUUAGCCUGACAUACAACUCUCUGAACCUGCUCUGGCUUUCACUUAGUGCGGUACUCCAACUCCAUCUCCCGCUCUGGCACCUUCUCCACCAUCUCAUUCAGGGUUUUGCACCCUGAAAAGCUCACGAACUCAUAGAUAUCAUCCCUCAGAAUGGAAUGAUACCUUGUCCUCCUCAUAUCCUUAUCUGCGGCAUAUUGUGGAAUCAACAGUGCUUGUUCCCAAAACUUGGCGGUGAUCUCUGCCAUAGUCUCGAUUGUCUACUGGAGCUUCUGGAACUCCCUUACUAGCCGUUGCACCUCAACAGAUGGUGCAAACUCUAAAUCAAAACGCCUGACAAACUCCUCCCGUGACAUCUCAGCCACUCCAGCUGAUCCCACCUGGUGGGUCACCUCCUCCCAACAGUCCUUGGCUCGGUCUCUCAACAUGUAUGAAGCAAAUCCCACUUUUCCACCUUUAGGCAAGAGCUCGUGUGCUGGGGAUUCUCCAUGUCUGCCACCCAGCAUCGACAAACUGUAGGAUCCCUAACCCGAAAGAACUUAGGCGCUCCGCACACCUUAAACUCUCGGAACGAGGGAGUUUGGGCCCUGACCUGGCCCGCAACAAUCUAGGCUCGGAAAGACCUGAGCCGCUCCUCCAUAAUCUCCAUCAUCCCUUCCUUGACGAUCCCGAAAAUCAUUGGCGUAGCGUCAAGAAUGCCCCUCGUCACCUUAGUUGCGAUAAGCUCGCAUAACCUCUUGUUAAUAGGCGCUGUAGCGUAGCGCGACCCAGAUCCGGAUCCUGAUCCCCCUGAUCCAUGACGUGUCAUCACCAUUUGGAUCUGAAAUACCAUAACAUAUAAUGAUCAAAAUAUCCAAAAAAGGGAUCCUACGACAUCGAUUCUCCUUACAGCCUCCAGAUCUAACAUUGGUUUGGGUACAUGUGAUGUGCUUUCAGUAGUACGGGUCCAAUAUUACCUUCCAUACCUACCUGCACCUUCCCCAAGGAUCUACCUGAUAACUCUAAUUCGCCCUAGAACAAAACAUAGUUCACAAACUAUCGCAUAACUCAAAUUCUAGGCUAACCUAAGAUAUGCUCCAUUCCCAUCAAACCAGAACUCAAAUCAAUCAUAAUAGGUUGCCUUAUGCAUGAAAAUUAUACGCAUAAUAGGAUCAAAUAGACUUUCGAAUAAUAGACUCUACCCUAGGACCAUUACCAGACAAGAAACAAGAAAUAAGGCCAAAUACAUCAUUCUAAGGCUAUAAGAUCCUAACCGUAUACAAUUUUUAAUGCAUACACAUAGCAAAAUCCAGCGGACUAUCAUAUUCCAAAUAUCAAUAUAGCAUGGCUAACAUACUAGGGAACCAUUUACUUGAGCUUGGCCGAUUACGUGCAUUGCACUCUCCCUUUUUCGGUUUUAAGAAGAUUUAACUUUGAUUUUUUUGAAUUUUUUUUUACCAUUUCCUUAAUUUGAGUUCUAACACAACAGAGAGUGUGCCCGAAUCCUUCAAACCAAGGCUUUCAUACCAACUUGUAAGAACCCAAAUUGUUUAUUGUCUUUAUUUUGCAUUUUCCUUCAGGUCCUUCUGAUCAUACAACCUGUGUGGUGAUGAAAUGAAGAUGCUACCUUAACACCAAUUUAGAGUUUUUUAGGAGAAAGAAAAUGAGAAACAUGCAUCUGUGAAGGGAAAAUCUCGUUUGGGAACUGUAAGUGUUUUUACUUAAAUACCCUUUGAUUGUUUUGCUUGAGUUAACAUGUUUAGUGUGGAUGUAAUGCUAGAUUGUUCAUCAUAAAAUUGCAGCAGCUCUGUGCUUGACUAUAGUCAAUAAUGAAUAUAAGAUGGAGUUCAGUAGAAUCUUGGAAUCCAUCAAGGUAUCUGUUUUUUUAAUUUAUUUAUUUAAAGAUUUUAUGGAAAAUUUUAUGGUUGAUUCUAAUAUGAUGAAUGAAUUUUUGUUGUUUGUUUCAAGCGAAUUUCAAUGAUAAGUAUGAUGAGUAAAGAAAGAAGUGGGGUGUGGGAUAAUGGGGUCAAAAUCACAGGCUAAAACCAAAGCAAAAGAAAGGGUUCUUGCUUAGGAGGCUGCUCAGAGAUUGACAUAAAUACCCUUCAUUAUCUUGGAAGCUUUGUGUUUAGUACCUCUUAAGUUAUAUGUUUACAAAGGUGAGGUACAUGAGUUUGAUUAUGUCACAAUUUUAUUUAGUUUUGGUUGGUUUUGCUGGUAUGGAGAAGGGUAUUUCUGUCUGUUUUUUUACCCAUUUUUGUGUUAACUUAUAAUGGAUCCAUACCAUAUGAUGCAAAUUAUUAGGUUGAUAUUUUUUUAUUUUUUUCUUUUAUACAAUUCUACUUAUAAUGGAUCCAUACCAUAGGUGUAGUAUGUAAACUAUUUAUUAACAAAUAGACAAAUCAAUAUGAAAACCUCUCAAAUAAAUAUAAAUAAAAUGUUGGUUGAUAUUUUCUUAUUUUUUUCUUGUUUUCAUGGAGUGCGUUAGCUGGAAUGAGGGAAAGGGAGUGGGUUGGGGAAAACAAAUGUAGACAAAUUCACUUGGGUGGUAAUACAAAUUUGAUUAAAAUCAGUUUUAACUUGAUGUGAAAUAGGUUGCUUUGGCAAAGCAGAGAGUUGAUAGUACUUAUAUACUCAAAUGAUGCAGGAAACUGGUGGUCAGUAGUCCAUGUAAGUUUCUUGAUUUGUAACAUCUUGUAUUCAAGAAAUAGCAAUGUACUUUCCAUAAAAAAAUUAUAAAUUAUAUUCUUUGAAAAUUUUGGUAGAUUGGUAGGUUUAAAAGUAGAAUGUCCUAAUAAGAAUAAAUUUAAAAAGUAGAAUGAAAAUGACAAGUGAUUUUGUGUUGUGUUUACAGGGUUGAUGAAAGCGAAUAGCUCUAGAGUUAAAAGAGGAAAAGAAAGCUCAAGCUUAAAGUGAUAAGAUGCUGCAAAUGCAAGUGUUGCAUUCUUCAUUUCAAUUGUUAGUAUAAAACAUAUAGUAGAUUAGAUGAAUGCAAAUUUAUAUAUUGUAAGGAAUAGAAUUGUGUGACAUUAAAUUUUAUGCAAUGGAUUGUAUUUUUUGUAUAUGUUAUUUUAUUUCUAUUAUGAGACAUUAAAUGCAAAUUUAAUUUAAAAAAUAAUAAGUAUAUAAAUAUUUUUUUAAAACAAUUAAAUUUACGAUACGCAAAAAUGUGUGUCAUCUUCAUUUAUGACAUGGCCUUUCUUGACAUGGGUUUUAAUGAUACGCAUUGCGUGUCAUAAGUGUGCGUCAGCUAUAGACGACACACAAAAACAUGUCGUCUCUCGUUUUGACAGGGCCUUCCUUGAUGUGCAUUUGCACAUUGUCUGAGCGUUUUACGACAAGCGUUGCGCAUCAUAAAAGGCUGUUUUUCUAGUAGUGCGUGUCGACAAUUACCCAAAUAGUAUCAUUACUACCCGUUGUUCUGGGUAACUUGGUUAUGAAAUCCAUUAUAAUUCACUCCCACUUCCACUCAGGUAUUUCUGGUUGUUGUAGUAGACCUGAAGGCUUUUGAUAUUCUACCUUGACUUUGGUGCAAGUUAGACACUUGCCCACAUACGUAGCAAUUUUAGCUUUCAUAUUCGGCCACUAAUAGAGUUUCUUAAGGUCCAGAUACAUCAUGUCUGAACCUAGAUGAAUGGAGUAUCAAGUUUUAUGAGCUUCAUUCAUGACAACAUCUCUGUAACCACCAAACUUCAGUGUCCAGAUCCGAUUCAUGAGAUAACGAACUCCGUCACCCUUGACUUCCAAGUUCUUUUCCAUUCCUCUUAGGGCUUGACCUAUCACGUUUUCGGGUUUCAAGGCUUCUAGCUGAGCUUCUUUGAUAUGUGUGAAUAAGUUGGAAUGGAUAGUCAUAGUUAGAGAGUUUACUCGGCAGCCCGAGUACUCUUUUCGACUAAGGGCAUCUGCUACUGCAUUGGAUUUACCGAGAUGAUAGCGAAUUUCGCAUUCGUAAUCAUUCAGUAGUUCCACUCAUCGUCGUUGUCUCAUGUUAAUUUCCUUCUAAGUGAAUAUAUGCUGGAGGCUUUUGUGGUCAGUAAAGACUGCGCAUUUCGUACCCUAUAGGUAAUAUCUCCAAAUUUUCAGAGCAAAAACUACUGCUCCCAAUUCAAGGUCAUGUGUGGUAUACUAGACCCCGUGGUUCUUAAGCUGUCUCGAGGCAUAGGAUAUAACCAUUCCUCGUUGUAUAAGAACGCAGCCUAGCCCUUGCUUGGAUGCAUCACAGUAAACUACAAAAUCUUUCGUCCCUUCUGGGAGGGACAAGAUCGGUGCGAUGCAGAGGGCUUGCUUUAGUGUCUGGAAUGCAGUUUCUUGUUUCUCUUCCCAGUUGAAGGUUAUACCCUUCUGAGUCAGGGUAGUGAGUGGCUAUACGAUCUUUGAGAAGUUUUGGUCGAAUCUUCUGUAAUAGCCAGCAAGACCUAGAAACUGACGAAUCUCUAUUGGGGUUCGUGGGGUUGCCUAGUUUUUAAUAGACUUGAUCUUGGAGGGAUCAACAUAUAUCCCUUCCUUGCUGACUACAUGACCCAAGACUUCUGCCUUCCGGAUCUAGAAUUCACACUUUGAGAACUUCGCGUACAAUUUAUCUGUCCUUAAGGUUUCCAGACUUGUCGUAAGUGUUGGUUAUGAUCUUCCUUACUUUGGGAAUAGGCUAAUAUUGUUGGAAUAGUGUCUAAGGCUGCAACUAUAUUAAGCAAGUAUUUGACCCGGUUGUGCAUGGUCCUUUUGGGUUGCCUUCACCAUAGCAACUUGAUAGGAUGAUUUAUUAUGAGAGAAGGAAUAUUAUUAAUAUAUUAUGAGAAUAAUAUAAGGAAUAAUAAUAUUAUUAUUUGAUUAAUAUAAGUCAUAAAUUAAUUAAGAAUUAAUUUGGUGACUUAAAGAGAUUAAUUGAAUAAUGGGGCAUAAACUGUCAUUUGAUUGAUAGUUGUACAUUGGGCUAUAAAUCCCUUAAGGAUAAGGGGGACGAUUUCUAGGGCUUAGGAUAGGCUUAGAUUUCGUCCAAGGCUUAUCAACUAGGGUAUUGGAUUGCUUAGGGCCUAAGUUAUCCAAUUAGGGUUUAAGGGUGAAACCUUAGGAGCCUCAUUAGUAUAAAUAGACCCUAGGGGUCAAGGGAAAUCGGCACUUGUGCUUUAGAAAGAAACCCUGGCCGAUUUUGAUCCCCUCUUCUCUCUCUCUCAAAUCAUCCUCUUGCUAGUUGGUGUUUGUAAGCCAUUAGAGGAGUGACAAUUGUGACUCUAGAAGCUCCAAGACCUCAAGAUCAACAAGGAACUCAAAGGUAUGAUUCUAGAUCUGUUUUAAUGUUCUUGUUUAACCUAAUUAGUAAUUAGAAGUCUUGGAUUCAAAGCAUGUUUAUUAGAAAGCCUAGAUCCAAGCAUUAGGGUUUUGCAUGCGCACAUAGGAAAGUUCUUAUGGCUAAAACCCAUCAGUGGUAUCAGAGCCUAGCUUGGUUUUCUGUAAAUUGUUGCUUGAUUAACUGAAACAAACCUGCAAAAUUCGAAUUUUUGGUUUCUGAGUCAUGGACUCGGCGAGUCUCAAAGUGGACUCGGCGAGUAGGCCUGACUCGGCGAGUCCAUUUGUGCACUCGGCGAGUCCAGGCGUCAGGAAUGGCCAGAUUCGGGAUUUCUUUGUGUUUAUCUUAUCUUAACUUACCAUAAACUAAUUAGAUCAACAUUAAUUCGUUUUUCUGAUAAAUAUAACUAUUAUCUUGAUCUAGUUAAAGGUAAUUAUCAACUAAUUAAAUAUUUAAUUUCCUUAUAUGAUAAUUAAUUAAUUAUUUUGAUUAUUUUGGUAAUUAUCUUUAAAAGAAAUCUUGAAUAAAUCAAAUAUAGAUAAUUAGGAUAUUAAUUGUUAAUUGGAAUUAUUUGUUAUUUGAUCCUCCAUGUUUUAAAUGUUUAAAACCUACCCUCAUGUUUUGAAAUUUACUUUUGUGAUUAAAAGUUUUAAUUUAGACAACUUAAAUUUCAAACCCUAGAUUUUAAAAGUUUUAAAAUACAACCCUAUACUAAUAUGAUAUUACUAGAAUAAUAUAUAUAUGUAUAACUAAAUGCUAGUCUUACCGUUAGUAGGCCUCAUUCACGAAGCCGAUCUAUAAGGUGGGUAUAAGGUUGCGGCCUAUAAAAUGGCGCUUAAUGGGUGUACACUCACACCCACCGCUUGCUUGAUUGGUGGAGGGUCGUUAGCCGAACGGGUAGGAUAGGGCAACCUCAUCCUCUCAUUAAAAGUAUAAUAAGAAAUAUAAAGUAACUACACAUUUUUUUAAAAUUUCCCAAUCCUAGUUACUUUAGGAAAAGUGAAUUGAUGCAAUCCCAUGAAAUUACACUUUGCACCUUGCUAAGAUGUUAGUGGAGCGUGUGUGGUUUACCGGCACACUAAUUGGUUCUAAGCGAAGGUGGCAAAGGGUGAUUCAUUGUUUAUCAUAGUUCGAUGGAGCGUGUGUGGUUUACCGGCACAUCGAAUAGGUGAUUGUUACAAUGAAGGCACCAUGUGAAUUUGCAUGGUAAUUCACACCCGCUUUGUGAUCCUCGGCAUCCCAGUCACAAACAAGAGGGGCAUAUCGAGAUUUAAACAUGCCAUUGAAUAGUUUCAAUGAAUCUCAUCCGAACCUAGGAAUUCUCAAAAACACUUAGGACUAAUAGUUUAAGUUUUGUGAUGGAGAAUUAGUGAAUCGUCAUUCACUUACCUUCAAUUUAUUUGCAUGUUAGAUUACGGCAUCCCUUUUCUAGUAUGUAAAUGUUAUUGUUGGAUCCUAGCCCUAAUUUUCUUAUUGGGUGAUAAUUAGGGAUUCUUAUUCUAAUCUAUCUUUGUCCUUUUCUAAUUGUAGAUGUCGAACGCAAACAACGCUGCUGCUAGUUCUUUCACGUUGAUGAGCCUUUGCCAAAAGGUCACCUUCGAUGGAACGAACUUUAGCGAAUGGAUAAGAUACAUUCGCACCAUUGCUCGCUAUGAGGAUAAGGAGUAUGUCCUCGAUGAGAAGCUCGAGAAAAUCAACCCCGAAAUUGCUACUCCCGCCGAAAUCACCGCCUUUGAAACUCAUGAGCGAGAUGCAACGAAGGUACAUUGCAUCAUGAUCGCCACCAUGAACUCCGAAUUCCAAAAGUCCUACGAGGACAUGUACCCGUACGAGAUGCAUCAAGACUUAUUGGAGAGGUACCACCAAAACGCGAGACAAGAGAGGUACGAGAUUUUCACUAACAUGAUUUCCGCGAAGAUGGGUCAUGGAGAAUCUCUUACCGUGCACUUGCAAAAGAUGCAAAGGUAUGUUGACCGCCUCCGCAAGUUAAAUGUUGACUUCGGUGAAGACUUGGCGAUCGACAUGGUGCUUCACUCUUUGCCUCCGAUGUACAACCAAUUUAGGAUGACCUACCACAUGAACAAAGAAGAGGUCACCCUAAGCAAGCUCCAAGGUCUCUUGAGGGUUGCUGAGAGCAACUUCAAGGACAAGUCUGUUGCACCUACUCCCAAUCCGCCCGCUGCUCCUGUCUUGGCUAUUGGACAAGGGAAGGGAAAGAAGAGGAAAGCUUCAUCGAAGAACUAUCGCAAGGUGAAAGCCCGAGAUGGUGCCUCUUCUAGUGGGACCAAAGUUGAUCCCGCCAAGCCCUGCUCUAACCCGAAGGAGGCAGAGUGCCACCACUGCCACAAGAUAGGACAUUGGAAGAGAAGCUGCCCGGAUUACCUGCAAGCAAUCAAAGAAGGAAAGAUCAAGCCAUCUUUCGCAGGUAUAUAUACAAUCAAAUCUAACGAUUCUAAUCAUGCUAUUUCUUGGGUUCUUGAUACCGGUUGUGGUUAUCACAUUUGUUCUAAUGUGCAGGGACUAAGAAGAAGUAGGGAUGUGGAGCAAGGAAGGAUCAAUCUAAUCAUGGGGAACAGAAGAUCGUCGCCUGUGACCAAGAUUGGAGUGUAUUCUUUAGUGCUUAGGAAUAGUUUGUGUUUAGAUUUGAACAAUUGUUGCUAUUCGCCAGAAAUGGCUAGAAACAUCAUUUCAUUUCAUGGUUUAUAUAGACAAGGAUUUAGAUUUUCUUUUAAUAAUGAGAAUGGUUCUAUUUUGGCUUAUCUAAAUGGUGUCUUUUACUUUGAAGCUAUACCAUGUAAUGGAAUAUAUGAAACCGUUAUGAUUGUUGAUAACUUAGGAAAUGAUGUUUUGAAUAUUGAUUCUUCCACUAGUAUGGAUAAAGCAUCCUUGUGGCAUUGUCGUCUUGGACAUGUCAACAAGAAACGCAUAGCCCAACUCCAAAAGGAUGGAGUGUUGGAGUCAUUCGACCUUAGGGAAGAUGACACAUGCGAGUCUUGUUUGCUUGGAAAGAUGACUAAGUCACCCUUCACGAGUACAUGUGAAAGGGGCGAGGGUCUAUUGGACCUAAUACAUACCGAUGUAUGUGGACCGUUUAGAUCAACCACGAAGGAUGGGAACCGCUUCUAUGUGACUUUUACCGAUGACUAUAGUAGAUAUGGGUAUAUCUACUUAAUCAAGCAAAAGUCAGACACCUUUGAAAAGUUCAAAGAGUUCAAGAAUGAAGUGGAGAAUCAAUUGGGCAGGAAAAUCAAGAUGCUUCAAUCCGAUCGAGGAGGAGAGUACCUAAGUCUUGAAUUCCACGACUAUCUCAAGGAGUGUGGAAUAGUUUCACAAUUGACGCCACCUAGGACACCGUAGUUGAAUGGUGUGGCAGAAAGGAGUGAUCGAACCUCGUUAGACAUGGUUCACUCUAUGAUGAAUCGUGCUUCACUACCUAUCUCUUUUUGGGGGUAUGCCUUAGAGACUGCCACCCAUAUCCUUAACCGAGUCCCUACUAAGAAGGUUGCCAAAACACCUCACGAGAUGUGGACAGGGAAAGCUCCCUCGUUGGCACAUAUCAAGGUUUGGGGUUGCGAGGCUUUCGUAAGACGAGAUACUCACGACAAGCUUGAACCUCGAAGUGAGCGAUGUAUUUUCAUCGGCUACCCGCAGACAUCCUUUGGAUAUCUCUUCUAUAGACCGAAGGACAAUGUUGUCUUCGUUGCGAGGAGAGGAGUUUUCCGAGAGCGAGAACUCAUAAGCCAAGGAGACAGUGGGAGGCAAAUCGAGCUUGAAGAGAUUCAAGAG
Molecule: long non-coding RNA, 23546 nt
Filed under: Lactuca sativa (garden lettuce)
Lineage: Eukaryota; Viridiplantae; Streptophyta; Magnoliopsida; Asterales; Asteraceae
Description: long non-coding RNA (LSAT_LNC009355)
Source: RNAcentral